Non-coding RNA from Chiloscyllium plagiosum (whitespotted bambooshark), 2750 nucleotides. The record is from RefSeq and is a predicted model, not a curated record. Lineage: Eukaryota; Metazoa; Chordata; Chondrichthyes; Orectolobiformes; Hemiscylliidae.
ACAUAGCAACAAUGCCCUCAGUUCCUUCAUCCAGAUUGUUAGUGUAUUAUGUGAAAAGCUGUGGUCCCAACACUAAGCCCUGUGGAACUCUAUUAGUCACCGGAUACCAUCUUGAGUACAUGCCCUUUAUCCCAUUCUCUGCCUUCUGCCAGUCACCCCAUUCUCUAUCCAUGUCAGUACCUUGUCACAAUACCACGACCUCUUACUUAGCAGCCUCCUGUGGGGCACCUUGUUAAAUUCCUUCUUGAAAUCCAAGUAGAUCAUGUCCACUGGAUCUCUUAUCUAACUGGCUCAUUUCCUCCUCAAAGAAUUGAAACAUUUGUCAGACAUAACAUCCUGUUGACAAAGCCGUGCUGAUUCAGCCCUAUUUUACCAUGCACUUCCAAGUCCUCCACAAUCGCAUCCUCAAUAACGGAUUCUGAAAUCUUACCAAUCUUACGGGCUAACUGGCCUAUAAUUUCCUUUUUAAUGCCUCCCUCCUUUCUUAAAAAGAGGUGUUACAUUAGCUAUUUUCCAGUUCUCAGGGACCAUCCCUGACUCCAACGAUUCAUUAAAGGCCCCAAUGCCUCCACAAUCUCCUGAGCUAUCUCCUUCAGACCCCAGGGGUGUAGUCCAUCCGGUCUGAGUGAUAGAUCCACCUUCAGACCUUUCAGCUUUCUCCUUAGAUGUGGUCACUACGCUCACCUCUAACCCCUGACUCUAUUGAAGUUCUGGUAUGCUACUGGUGCCUUUUACCAUGAAGACUGAUGCAGAGUACUUAUUCAGUUCCUCCAUUGUUUCUGUGUUCCCCAUAACUAUUUCUCCAGCCUUAUUUUCCUAAGGUCCAAAGACCAUUCCUGCCUCACUCUUACCUUUGAUAUAUCUAAACAAAACCCUUACAAUCUUCCUUUAUAUUACUAGCUAGCUUAUUCUCAUAUUUCAUCUUCUUCCUCUUUAUUACUUUUUUAAAGUUAUUUUUUGGUUGUUUUUAAAUGCUUCCCAAUCCUCUGGCUUUCCAUUAAUCUUCACCACAUUAUAUAUGUUUUUUUGCUUUUAUGCUAUUGACUUCCCUGGACAUCCAUGGUUGCCUCAACCUCCACAGUCUUCCAAGCAACUCUGGCCAGCUCUUCCCUCAUGUUUCUGUAGUUACCUUUACUCAAUUGCAAUAGCGUUCCAGCUUCCCCUAAUCAAACUGCUGCAUGAAUUUUAUCACAUUUUGCUCACUGUCCCAAUAGUGGUUUCUUCACAUUACAUUCUCUUGUCAACUCUGCCUCAAUGCACGUCCCACAUUCCUGAUGAAGGGCUUAUGUCCAAAACAUCAAUUCUCCGAUUUCUCGGAUGCUGCCUGACCUGCUGUGCUUUUUCAGCGCUAUGCUUUUUGACUCAAUACAGAUCCAGACAAGCGAAAAGGAGGUAAACAUGAUUCAACACUGACCUACUAUGCCUACAUACUUCAUGCUACUGCAUUCCAAGAAAAAUUGAUUCUACCUACAGCAUAUGUACUGCCGUAGUUCAAGGCGGCGGCUCACCAUCACCUUCUCAAGGACAACUAGGGGACAAGCUUGCCCACAAUUGCAGAGAAGGCCUGGCCGAGAGGUGCCAGACAAAGAUUCUCACCCACUUUGAUGAACAGGCACAAAUUGGCUGAGAAGACAGAGACUCAACCCAUGGCAAGUUGGAGACAUGAACAGCCUAGGAAGCAACAUUGCUUUCUGUCCUUCUCAGCUGUGCAUUAAGGCAAACAUAUUGCUUUGCAUGAGAUAUUCUGUAUCUAUACCAACUACUCCUUUAUCUUUUCUAUGAACACCACCAGUAAUCACAAUUCAUAUACGAUGAAAGAGGCUGGAGACCCUCUGCUCCAGCACCAUUUCAGAGGACAAGGACAAGGACUCAGGAGUCCUUAGACAGCCCACUUACAAGGUGUCACCUGCAGCCUCCACCUGCACAGUCAAUCACCUCAAUGGUUAGGUUAGACUUGAUGAUGUAAUCCAGUGAGCAAAUCAGUGUGACAGGUCCACUGCCCGUGAAAGAUGUCUCUGACACUCAAAGGACUGCCAGAGACCAGGUGCCUGCAAAGCCCCAUACAGAAGAUUAUGACAUGGUCAACCUGCAGGAAGAGGCAGGGAACACCAGAAAGGUGUAACAGAGGUUCUCAUAGACUUCAGCAAAAGAUGGACAGGAUGGUGGUCAUCUUGGAGAUCCAGUCCAACAGAAUGGUGCGUGGCUGCCGGUUAUGUGCUUAGAUCUGGACUUCAGUGAUCUAGCCAUGGAUACUCAGCAUCACUGGCAAAGUGAGGCAUCUCAGCAUCACUCCAGAUGAGAGUGUGGUGCUAGCAGGCAACCACAGGGAGGAGAUGAAACCACCAGGUAUCACAGCAACAUCUUCUCAGGACAUUCCAGAGAUGUCCUGUCACUACAUCUUCCCUCUGCCAGUGACUCCGAUGCCUCCAAAAGCCGAGGCCAAGAAGAAUGUACUUGCACCUAUGCAGGAUACUCCUAGCAGGCCAGGGACCUCUAGGAACACUAACCAAACUCUUCAAACUCACCUAGGCACUUCAGUCAACAAGCUCCUUCCACCGUAGCUGUGAAUGUCAGACCUACACUUAGAUAUAGUUGGGAGGUGGGGAGCAAAAUACAAACUUAAGGGCAUAAUGGUGGUAUGGGUGUUCAAUCAAUGAACUGCAUUUUUUGAAAUGCGUACUUACUUAUGAAGUAACUGCACAGAGGCUGGUAUCCCACCAAGUCACCCUUUAUUUACAUGUGCACAGUAC